UCUCCUCUGCCCACUGCCGUUUCUGCGGAGAGAGGAUGGGAAAGACGAUAAAAAUGGGGAGGAAAGGUGAAAGGGAUACUUGUUACCUUCAACAAGUUGAUUGUCAUUUAUGAAGUUUUUUUAAUACUUAUCUUCAAUUGAUGAAGAGUUAGUCAUGCCCAUGCUGCAAGACCUGGAUCAGGACCCAAAACUUCCCUAGAACUUUGAGAAUCUUUAUAUCUGGGGGUUUGGUGCAACUACAGAUGGAAGUGAGGAUCAGCCUCUGGGUUUGCACCUGGAUCCAGACAGUUUGUCCCCAACCUGGGGAUAGUUGGAUCUGGCAGUUUGCUACAAGGCUAGUUGAUUUUUAUAUAUAUAAUGAUCUGUAUGCAUUUUUACAUUAAAAAUAUGAAAGCUUGUGCUUGUAGAUAAUAUAUUAAAAAACUAAAUAAAAAAGAAAAAGGAAAUAUAGUCUUUUCUGUACUGAACUCUCACGUAUUGAUCUUCCAUUAGAUGUCUCCAGUGUUCCUUCCAGCUAUUAAGGGGCCAGUUCCAAAAGCCCAGAUUUGGUUCUUACUUAACCUUUAUCUAAGGAAAACAAACAGUGAAUUUUACCAGAAUAAGCACUGUAAAAUUUGGAUCAUUUUACUUGAACUUAUUUGGCUGUUAGUCCUGGAAUAGAGAAGUCAAACAGCAUCUACAGUGAGGCACAGCUCCAAAUGUCCUUGCUAACUAUUACAAGGCUGAUGAAAAAAAGUUACAGGGUAAUUACCUAACCUCAGUGAAACCCACCAAAAGCUGUCCUGCCAACUAAAUAACACAGACCUUGAUCUCAAGCUUCUGAGGUGAAAUCCUGGGAUAAGAAGCCUGGGAGAUUUAUGGUGGUGGUUUGGACAGAGGCAACUUUUCACCUGCUGCCAACUACACCCAUGUUCAAAGGAUAAUGCAGUGUUAAAUCUGAAGAGGAGGUACAUAAUAUGUACCUUAUGAAAGGUACAAUAUAUGAGUGGUAAAUAAUCAGAGUGUGGGUAUUAAGCUGUAGCAGAGGAAGCUUCAGCACUGAAGAGGGGAGCUGUAAUCCAUUCUUUUCCCCCCAAACCUGUGCCAACCAAGUAACCCAAAGUGUGGUGAACAGGAGUUGGGGGAUAAGAAUGUCACAACAAGCAGAGCACUGCAUAAAACCUGGGUGCAGAAUCUAUGCUGGGAGGUGAAACCUCCCAACACCAGUCACUGUCUGCCUCUGGAGCACUGCAAAGCAGCCUUGGGUUCUGUCAAGCCACACUAUAACUUGCUCCAGUCAAAAUAAUUUCUCCUGCAAAGUAGCUGCAGUCAUAAAGGCUUUGCAUGAACAGUCUUGGGGUUCCUUUUAUCUUUUUCUUUAAUGGCUCAAUACAUAUGCAAAUCUUAAGUAGAAAAAGAAAAAGAGGCUUUAAUUAAAAGAGGCUUCUUGGCAUUUUGAUGUAUCUGCCUUUAUGCUCUUUGCAAAAUUAAACCUAUAAUGAAAACAGUGUCAUCUUAGAAACUCUGGUGUUAUGCAUUUUAUUUCCUCUACAGAUGCCAGGCACUAAUUACCUCAGGCUAUGAAAAUUCAAAGCAGCAGCUUGUCCAGUGCUGUGCAAGGCUUCUAGGAGGUGCUAAUGGUGUGAGGCCAGCUCAGCCUGGUUUCUGCAAGCACCAUUGCCCAUGGGGAAGGCUGUUAAUGCAGCUGGCACUGGCAGAUUCCUGGGGCAGGACCCUGCUGGCCCUGGUGGGGUUUGUACGGGAUGGGUCAAGCCCCUGGUCCCCAACUUGUGGAGAACACACCCCAAUGGCCAAUUCCCCUCAUCCACCUGAAGGAUUUCCUCCUUCUUCAGCCUGAAGUAAACUGGCAGGAAACCCUAAGUCCACACUACUACUGGCUGUUUAACAAACCCGAGAAUUUGAGGGGAGUUUGGCCUUUUUGGACUGGUCUCCUUCAUCUCCAGCUUGAUUCCCCAAAGCAGAAUUUGCCUUUUGCUGUUUUCCAUCAUAUUAAAUGAAGUAAUUUUGAGUUUUGUUUGCUUGUUUGGGGUUUUUUUUGAAUGGUAGCUGUCAAUAGACUCUGAUACUCAUGGGCAAAGAGGCUGUAUCCCUUCUCAGAGGUCACUCUCACAAGGAUGGAGUAUUUGCUAAUGCCUCUGGAUAUUAAUUAUUCACACUGAACACAGCAGCUCUGAAGAGUUGGAAAUAAUUUUUUUUUCAAUAAGGGAACCUCUCAUCAUUGUAAUACAGAUGUCUGUGUCAGAUACCAGACCUAAACCAGACUGAAAUAUUCUGCAUCACUAGGAACAGCCAUGGCCUGUCAUGAAAUAUUAACAUGCAGAAUAAUAAAAAAAAAAAUUGAAAACAAUUUACAGGCAGACUUCAAAUUAUACCUCACAGAAAAAACGUGCACAUUCUUUCCUUUUAAAUUUUAUGUGAUAUCAGGAAUUUACAGAACCUCAUUUCAAAACCCAACAAGUUCUGGAAACUAAGAAUGUAUCAGUAAUGUAAAAAAUAAGGGGUUUUAUCAAACUCCUUUGUCACUACACAUGAUUGAACUCUCCACUCUGUUUCCUCUAGCCUGGUCAAAACUGUCAUUACUACAAUGAAUAUCAAGGAGAUCCAGAUGGAACUUUUGAUAUUAAAAAAAAAAAAAA
This is a long non-coding RNA of Taeniopygia guttata (zebra finch), 2636 nucleotides long. The record is from Ensembl. NCBI's taxonomy places the organism in Eukaryota, Metazoa, Chordata, Aves, Passeriformes, Estrildidae.